RNAcentral lists this ribosomal RNA (497 nucleotides) under uncultured bacterium. RNAcentral's name for it is "partial 16S ribosomal RNA". It matches the Rfam family "Bacterial small subunit ribosomal RNA", at positions 28 to 507 of the family's 1533-position model. The record is from RNAcentral.
GAUGAACGCUGGCGGCGUGCCUAAUACAUGCAAGUCGAGCGAACAGACGAGGAGCUUGCUCCUCUGACGUUAGCGGCGGACGGGUGAGUAACACGUGGAUAACCUACCUAUAAGACUGGGAUAACUUCGGGAAACCGGAGCUAAUACCGGAUAAUAUAUUGAACCGCAUGGUUCAAUAGUGAAAGACGGUUUUGCUGUCACUUAUAGAUGGAUCCGCGCCGCAUUAGCUAGUUGGUAAGGUAACGGCUUACCAAGGCAACGAUGCGUAGCCGACCUGAGAGGGUGAUCGGCCACACUGGAACUGAGACACGGUCCAGACUCCUACGGGAGGAAGCAGUAGGGAAUCUUCCGCAAUGGGCGAAAGCCUGACGGAGCAACGCCGCGUGAGUGAGGAAGGUCUUCGGAUCGUAAAACUCUGUUAUUAGGGAAGAACAAAUGUGUAAGUAACUAUGCACGUCUUGACGGUACCUAAUCAGAAAGCCACGGCUAACUACGUG